Molecule: unclassified non-coding RNA, 822 nt
Filed under: Hevea brasiliensis (rubber tree)
Lineage: Eukaryota; Viridiplantae; Streptophyta; Magnoliopsida; Malpighiales; Euphorbiaceae
Source: RNAcentral
GUUUGUGAUGUCAAAAAUGAAAUAUCUUAUUCCCUUAACAAUUUCAAGUUCCCUAUGCUGCCGGAAUUUGGCUUAUAUGUUGAGGAUCGCAACCAUAUUUUUGGAUUAGGGGCGUUAGUUCCUACAACCAAUCAGCUUUUGCUUUAUAUGUUCUUCAAUUUAGAUGUGGUUCUCUGAAAACAAGCCCAAGAAGACUGAAUCAGGUCUGUACAGAAUUGAAAAUUUUCAUCUAGGAUAUGUUUAAAUUGAGGUAGACCUAACACAAGAUUAUGAUCAUUAUUCUUCAGUGACUCUUGAUAGCACUUCAAUUCAUUCAGUUUACUUGUUUCAGUGAUUAUUUGAAUAGGAUCACCAGUCAGCCCAACAUUAUUGGCCUUCCAAUGCCUGAACUUUUUUUUGUUAUUAUUUUUAUUUUUAUUCCCUUAACCUUUCUGAUUCUGUUUUAUCUUAUGUCUGUAACUUCUCUCUGAUCCUAAUUUCAUGCCUGUACAAUUCAUAUUCACAGGUGGCUGCUAAUAACGUUGCCAUGAUUCCAUCUGGAUAAAUAUUUGAUAGGUCAGUGCUCAUAAUGAAACGUGUUUACUUUAACUGUUAAAUAUUGAAACCAUUAUUGAUAAUUGAUUGUGGAUACUUUAUUAUGUUUUUAGAUUUGAAUUUGAGUACUUAGUCUUUCAUGUGAUUUACAAGUAGAAAAUAUGGAUUUGACAAGGAGGCCUUAAUGUUAAUAUGGGUUAUAAUAGCCUCAUUGGUGACAGAUGAAUUUGUCUAUGUGAAUUAAUGGUUUGCAAUGUUAUAUUUUUGGAUGGUGGAACAAGUUGGUGA